CGCAUCUGUGCAUGCAGCAUAUCAAUAAGCGGAGGAAAAGAAACUAACAAGGAUUCCCCUAGUAACGGCGAGUGAAGCGGGAAAAGCUCAAAUUUGAAAUCUUAAAGGGUUUCCCUUUACGAAUUGUAGUUUAAAGAAGUGUUUUCUGUUGAGGUUUUGGUAAAAGUUCUUUGGAAUAGGACAUCAUAGAGGGUGAGAAUCCCGUAUUUGACCUUUACUUUCAACUUUGUGAUACACUUUCAAAGAGUCGGAUUGUUUGGGAAUGCAGUCCAAAAUGGGUGGUAAAUUUCAUCUAAAGCUAAAUAUUGGCGAGAGACCGAUAGCGAACAAGUACCGUGAGGGAAAGAUGAAAAGAACUUUGAAAAGAGAGUUAAACAGUACGUGAAAUUGUCAAAAGGGAAGCGUUUGACACCAGUGUUGUUUUCUGAAAAUCAAUUAAAGAACUGUUUAUGCUAAGUUGUUUAGACUUUAUCAGCUAUCUGUUUAGUUUUGAGCUUUUCUUUAAUGCACUUUUCAGUUACAAGUCAACAUCAAUUUCUUUUGCUGUAAAAAAGCUUGAGGAAGGUGGCUUGAGAUUCGUCUUAAGUGUUUAUAGCCUCUUGCCUAUGCAGUCGGAGAGAUUGAGGUCUGCAGCGUAGAUCCUUCGGGGCUAAAUGCAUUUGUGCUAAGUUAUAGCAUUUUAUAGACAACUUGUUGACUAUGAUUUGUCUUGUAGCUUACUCGCUUAUGUUAUUUUACCUACGCUUAGGAUGUUGACGAGACUGUCGAUCUC
This 772-nucleotide ribosomal RNA is filed under the name uncultured Neocallimastigales. Its description in RNAcentral is "partial large subunit ribosomal RNA". It matches the Rfam family "Eukaryotic large subunit ribosomal RNA", at positions 26 to 646 of the family's 3401-position model. The record is from RNAcentral. Lineage: Eukaryota; Fungi; Neocallimastigomycota; Neocallimastigomycetes; Neocallimastigales.